UUAAUUGGAUUGAGCCUUGGUAUGGAAACCUACUAAGUGAGAACUUUCAAAUUCAGGGAAACCCCGGAAUUAAAAAAGGGCAAUCCUGAGCCAAAUCCUGUUUUUUAAAAGGUUCAGAAAACAAAAAAAAAGGAUAGGUCCAGAGACUCAAUGGAAGCUGUUCUAAUAAAUGUGGGCACUGGUAGAGGAAUCUUUCCACCAAAACGUCCGAAAGGAUCAAGGAUAAACCUAUCUAUUGAAUACUAUAGCAAAUGCUUAAUGAUGGGCCGAAUCUCUAGAUAUAUUUUUUUAUAUGAAAAAUAGAAGAAGAAGAGUUGGUGUGAAUUGAUUCGACAUUGAAUAAAAAAUCGAAUUUGUUUUCAUCAAAUCAUUCACUCCAUAGUCCGAUAAACCUUUUAAAGAAUUGAUCAAUCGGACAAGAAUAAAGAUAGAGUCCCCUUCUACAUGUCAAUACUGGCAACAAUGAAAUUUAUAGUAAGAGGAAAAUCCGUUGACUUUUAAAAUCGUGAGGGUUCAAGUCCCUCUAUCCCCAAACAAGCCUAUUUGACUCCCCAAAUCUUUAUCCUACCCUCUCCCUUUCGGUUCGAAAUUGCUUGAUUUUGAUGAUUCUUUGACAACCGUAGUUGGGCGUAAAUGACUUUCUAUUCUCCUAUGUGAUAUAGAAUAAGAAUACACAUCCGAAUUUAGCAAAGAAUCCUGAUUUAAAUGAUUCACAAUCAAUAGCUUUACGAAUACUUAAACCUCAAAAGUGGUCUUUUUGAAGAUCAAAGAAAUUUCAGUAGUUGGAUAAAAAUUUGUAAUCCCCCCCUUUCCCUUUAAUUGACAUAGACCCCAGCCAUCGACUAAAAUAAUAAAGAUUACUACGCUGAGAAUGGUCGGGAUAG
RNAcentral lists this unclassified non-coding RNA (884 nucleotides) under Utricularia parthenopipes. Its description in RNAcentral is "partial contains tRNA-Leu (trnL) gene and trnL-trnF spacer region". The stretch from base 1 to 457 matches the Rfam family "Group I catalytic intron". From Rfam's summary of the family: Group I catalytic introns are large self-splicing ribozymes. They catalyse their own excision from mRNA, tRNA and rRNA precursors in a wide range of organisms. The core secondary structure consists of 9 paired regions (P1-P9). Lineage: Eukaryota; Viridiplantae; Streptophyta; Magnoliopsida; Lamiales; Lentibulariaceae. The record is from RNAcentral.